Molecule: ribosomal RNA, 253 nt
Filed under: uncultured bacterium
Lineage: Bacteria
Description: partial 16S ribosomal RNA
Rfam family: Bacterial small subunit ribosomal RNA
Source: RNAcentral
UACGUAGGGUGCAAGCGUUAAUCGGAAUUACUGGGCGUAAAGCGUGCGCAGGCGGUUUUGUAAGUCUGUCGUGAAAUCCCCCGGGCUCAACCUGGGAAUUGCGAUGGAGACUGCAAGGCUAGAAUCUGGCAGAGGGGGGUAGAAUUCCACGUGUGAGCAGUGAAAUGCGUAGAGAUGUGGAGGAACACCGAUGGCGAAGGCAGCCCCCUGGGUCCAAGAUUAGAGCUCCAUGGCACGAAGCCGUGGGAGCAAA